Molecule: long non-coding RNA, 1184 nt
Filed under: Equus caballus (horse)
Lineage: Eukaryota; Metazoa; Chordata; Mammalia; Perissodactyla; Equidae
Description: lncRNA (ENSECAG00000043308.2)
Source: RNAcentral
CUUCACUUCACCACUUGCCUCUUCUGGAACUAAACUUUCAUUUGAAGACUCACCCCUUAUAAAAAUGAUGUAAUGACGACAAUGAUGAUGAGAGCGAGUACAUGUGCUAGCCUCUCCUCUACACACUUUUCAUAUAUGUAGUCCAACAAUCCUGUGAGGUGGAUCCUAUUAUGAUUCCUAUUUACAACAUGAGGCACAGAGGAGUCUCACAGCAGGGAAGCAGCAUAGACAAGCCUGGAGCUGGGGCUGUGUAUGAUCUUCGCUGUUGCAGCUAAGAUACAGGGAGGCAUCUUGGAAGCCUUGAUGUUGCUAUGCAGCCCUGCAGGGCCUCCAUGGCCCAAUUACUGAAUUAGGUUUGUAGUUCACUCUCAGGCAAGAUGUGGGAAUUCCUCUUUCCUGACAUCUUUCCAGGCUGCUUCUCUGAGAUACUUCAUCUACCACUUCUGUCAAGAUCCUCUUUAAAGCUCCCCCGUCCAGUGUAAUUUUUUCUAAUAACGCUCUCCAUGCUGGCUCAUUGCUGUGCUCCCAUCAAUACACUCACUGCUCUCUCUGGGCCUCUGAGUCCUGCCUUGCUCCUGUGAUGCCUUGCCGGCUCCCUGCUACAUAAAAUGGAAUUUUCAGCCCUCACCCGAGUGAACUCCCUGUGGGUUAUUGUCCAAAUCUCUCCACGGGAUAUGAGGCAGCUCUCUCCACUGGCGAGGGAGGAUGGGGAGUAAGAAUGAAGAGGAGAGAAAGAGAAUGAGAGGAGGGCCUCACAGCUGGAGGAGAUGAGAACUAAGGUGGGGACACGGAGAGAUUUGGUUAAGUGCCCCGGUUGCCCAGCUGUCAGAAGAAGAGCCAGGAUUCAUCUCUGCCAGCUAGCCACGCAAACCACACUAUUAGGCUGUGUGUCUAUUUGACUCAAGGACUUCCAGAGACAAGGUUCACCGCCAGGAUGCAGCAAAUGCUUUUUAAGUCAUAAUUGUUAACACCCAUUUCUCUGUGUCCAGCGUUUACAUUUAUUACAUCUAUCAUCUUAUUUAGUCUUUACGCCAGUGCUCUGAGGAAAGUAUUAUUAUCAUCUCACUUUAAAGAUGUGGAAACUGAAGGCUAGAGCAGUUAAGAGAGUCUUCAAGGUCAAAUAGCUGGUGAAUAGUGGGGUCAGCACUUGAACUCAGGUCCUAUUUGACUCCAAUAGGGUGUUU